CGCGAGAUUUGCAGUCUUGCCGAACUUUUACAUGACGGUGCGGGAGCAGGGGCGCUGUAGACUUAUAUCAUGCAGUUUUCAUAUGUUGCCAUACAUUCGCGUGUCGGUGUUCAGCCUGUCAAACACGAGCCGCCGUGAGCAGGUCGUUUUUGGGUGAUGUGGAAUGGGGCUCAUGUUCCUGCCUGAACUAAAUGAAAGAUACGUGGCGCCAAUGUCCCACUCCGAGGAUGAUCGACUGGAUGCAGGACGAAGCGCGGACAAAAGAUGUAGCAGCAGCAAACAGACGAAAAGACAAGUGGGUUCUGAUGUGAUGAUCAGGUUGUAAUCAAUGAAGAAACAUCAGCUUGGGGCUGAUCCAUGUCACCAUGCUGAUGUAACGGCAGCAAAGCAAACCGACGAGAAGACGAGUGGGUUCCUGAGAUGAUGUGAACCAGGUUGUAAUCGAUGAAGAAACAUCAGCUUGGGGCUGAUCCAUGUCACCAUGCUGAUAUAACGGCAGCAAAGCAAACCGACGAGUGGGUUCCUGAGACAAUGUGAACCAGUUUCUUUUUCCUCUAGGUUGUAAUCGACGAAGAAACAUCAGCUUGGGGCUAAUCCAGAAGUGUUGACGCCACAGGAAAUUACAAAAUACUGUAGGAUGGAUUGAAUGCAAAUGUGAAACUGUUUGAUUUUAAAAAUAAGUUUAAUAAAUCUAAAACGUGUAAAAUUCAAGCAUAAUGGCACAUUCAAGUAACUGUAUACUAUAAGGAGCUCCCAGCAUGCAUUGGCCAAUCUGUGUUGGGAGACGAUCUGUAGGAUUUCUUCUUUAGAUUUUCUAGAAAGAUCUGCUCCUCUUUGAGGUAUUCACGGUCCUGUGGGAAGAAAAUAAAUUUGAAACUGUAAAUGUUGGAAGAUGGUGUUAUAAAUGUUCAGCAGUUGAAUCCACUGGCUGUAGUGUGAAGUUUGUUAAAUGUGUUUAAACAGUUAAUCUGUUUAUUUCAAAAUAAAAGUUUUUGCAGUAACA
Long non-coding RNA from Scophthalmus maximus (turbot), 1003 nucleotides. RefSeq lists it as uncharacterized. The transcript has 7 exons. Lineage: Eukaryota; Metazoa; Chordata; Actinopteri; Pleuronectiformes; Scophthalmidae. The record is from RefSeq and is a predicted model, not a curated record.